GAUGAACGCUGGCGGCGUGCCUAAUACAUGCAAGUCGAGCGAACAGACGAGGAGCUUGCUCCUCUGACGUUAGCGGCGGACGGGUGAGUAACACGUGGAUAACCUACCUAUAAGACUGGGAUAACUUCGGGAAACCGGAGCUAAUACCGGAUAAUAUAUUGAACCGCAUGGUUCAAUAGUGAAAGACGGUUUUGCUGUCACUUAUAGAUGGAUCCGCGCCGCAUUAGCUAGUUGGUAAGGUAACGGCGUACCAAGGCGACGAUGCGUAGCCGACCUGAGAGGGGGAUCGGCCACACUGGAACGGAGACACGGUCCAGACGCCUACGGGAGGCAGCAGUAGGGAAUCGUCCGCAAUGGGCGAAAGCCUGACGGAGCAACGCCGCGUGAGUGAUGAAGGUCUUCGGAGCGUAAAACUCUGUUAUGAGGGAAGAACAAAUGUGUAAGUAACUAUGCACGUCUUGACGGUACCUAAUCAGAAAGCCACGGCUAACUACGUG
RNAcentral lists this ribosomal RNA (497 nucleotides) under uncultured bacterium. Its description in RNAcentral is "partial 16S ribosomal RNA". It matches the Rfam family "Bacterial small subunit ribosomal RNA", at positions 28 to 507 of the family's 1533-position model. The record is from RNAcentral.